RNAcentral lists this small RNA (162 nucleotides) under Chelonoidis abingdonii (Abingdon island giant tortoise). RNAcentral describes it as "TUC338 (ENSCABG00000008614.1)". Lineage: Eukaryota; Metazoa; Chordata; Testudines; Testudinidae. The record is from RNAcentral.
UUCACAGCCCUGGGAGAGUGAAGUCUUCUGUUGAUCAACUUGGCAGCAGUGGUACAAACUUCCUUGCACUGCAUAACCCAUGUACCUCAACCCUGACCUGGAGAAGCCCUAGAAAUGAGUGGAGCCUGAUUUUCCCCAUGGCCCUUUCACUCCAUGGUUUCU